UUCCUUCAAAUUAAACGUGUCCUUCAAGAUUCAGAACAGAUAAGGAACGGAAUGGAGAAAGGAAGGAAGAAAAGAAACACAUGCAAAAUGAGGAAACUGAGGACCACGGAAGUGGAGCAUCCUGCCUGAGGUCACCCAGCUACCGAGGUAGUACAACUAGGAAUUGAAUAAAGCCCUUCAGACUCCACCUCCAAUGUACUUCCCACUCCAGCGUGCUAGGACAUAUGAUUCUGCCCACACAUGAUUCCUACCAGCUCCUAAGAGAAGGGCCA
This 272-nucleotide long non-coding RNA is filed under the name Monodelphis domestica (gray short-tailed opossum). RNAcentral's name for it is "lncRNA (ENSMODG00000047222.1)". The record is from RNAcentral. Lineage: Eukaryota; Metazoa; Chordata; Mammalia; Didelphimorphia; Didelphidae.